CCUACGGGACGCACCAGUGGGGAAUAUUGCACGAUGGGCGCAAGCCUGAUGCAGCCAUGCCGCGUGUAUGAAGAAGGCCUUCGGGUUGUAAAGUACCUUCAGCGGGGAGGAAGGUGUUGUGGUUAAUAACCGCAGCAAUUGACGUUACUCGCAGAAGAAGCACCGGCUAACUCCGUGCCAGCAGCCGCGGUAAUACGGAGGGUGCAAGCGUUAAUCGGAAUUACUGGGCGUAAAGCGCACGCAGGCGGUCUGUCAAGUCGGAUGUGAAAUCCCCGGGCUCAACCUGGGAACUGCAUUCGAAACUGGCAGGCUAGAGUCUUGUAGAGGGGGGUAGAAUUCCAGGUGUAGCGGUGAAAUGCGUGGAGAUCUGGAGGAAUACCGGUGGCGAAGGCGACCCCCUGGACAAAGACUGACGCUCAGGUGCGAAAGCGUGGGGAGCAAACAGGAUUAGAUACCCUUGUAGUC
This 465-nucleotide ribosomal RNA is filed under the name uncultured bacterium. Its description in RNAcentral is "bacterial SSU rRNA". It matches the Rfam family "Bacterial small subunit ribosomal RNA", at positions 338 to 795 of the family's 1533-position model. The record is from RNAcentral.